This 440-nucleotide ribosomal RNA is filed under the name uncultured bacterium. Its description in RNAcentral is "partial 16S ribosomal RNA". It matches the Rfam family "Bacterial small subunit ribosomal RNA", at positions 338 to 795 of the family's 1533-position model. The record is from RNAcentral.
CCUACGGGCGGCAGCAGUGAGGAAUAUUGGGCAAUGGAGGCAACUCUGACCCAGCCAUGCCGCGUGAGUGAAGAAGGUUUUCGGAUUGUAAAGCUCUUUCGGAUGUGACGAUGAUGACUGUAGCAUCUAAGUAAGCCCCGGUUAACUUCGUGCCAGCAUCCGCGGUAAUACGAAGGGGGCAAGCGUUGUUCGGAAUUACUGGGCGGAAAGGGAGAGUUGGCGGUUUAGUAAGAUAGUGGUGAAAUCCCAGAGCUUAACUUUGGACGUUCCAUUAUAACUAUUAGACUAGAAUUACAGAGAGGAUAGUGGAAUACCCAGUGUAGAGGUGAAAUUCGUAGAUAUUGGGUAGAACACCAGUGGCGAAGGCGACUAUCUGGCUGUACAUUGACGCUGAGGCUCGAAAGCAUGGGGAUCAAACAGGAUUAGAUACCCGUGUAGUC